Molecule: ribosomal RNA, 775 nt
Filed under: uncultured Neocallimastigales
Lineage: Eukaryota; Fungi; Neocallimastigomycota; Neocallimastigomycetes; Neocallimastigales
Description: partial large subunit ribosomal RNA
Rfam family: Eukaryotic large subunit ribosomal RNA
Source: RNAcentral
GCAUCUGUGCAUGCAGCAUAUCAAUAAGCGGAGGAAAAGAAACUAACAAGGAUUCCCCUAGUAACGGCGAGUGAAGGCGGGAAGAGCUCAAAUUUGAAAUCUUAAAGGGUUUCCCUUUACGAAUUGUAGUUUAAAGAAGUGUUUUCUGUUGAGGUUUUGGUAAAAGUUCUUUGGAAUAGGACAUCAUAGAGGGUGAGAAUCCCGUAUUUGACCUUUACUUUCAACUUUGUGAUACACUUUCAAAGAGUCGGAUUGCUUGGGAAUGCAGUCCAAAAUGGGUGGUAAAUUUCAUCUAAAGCUAAAUAUUGGCGAGAGACCGGAUAGCGAACAAGUACCGUGAGGGAAAGAUGAAAAGAACUUUGAAAAGAGAGUUAAACAGUACGUGAAAUUGUCAAAAGGGAAGCGUUUGACACCAGUGUUGUUUUUCUGAAAAUCAAUUAAAGAACUGUUUAUGCUAAGUUGUUUAGACUUUAUCAGCUAACUGUUUAGUUUUGAGCUUUUCUUUAAUGCACUUUUCAGUUAACAAGUCAACAUCAAUUUCUUUUGCUGUAAAAAAGCUUGAGGAAGGUGGCUUGAGAUUCGUCUUAAGUGUUUAUAGCCUCUUGCCUAUGCAGUCGGAGAGAUUGAGGUCUGCAGCGUAGAUCCUUCGGGGCUAAAUGCAUUUGUGCUAAGUUAUAGCAUUUUAUAGACAGCUUGUUGACUAUGAUUUGUCUUGUAGCUUACUCGCUUAUGUUAUUUUACCUACGCUUAGGAUGUUGAAGAUGUAGCACAUCAU